RNAcentral lists this ribosomal RNA (701 nucleotides) under uncultured bacterium. RNAcentral's name for it is "bacterial SSU rRNA". It matches the Rfam family "Bacterial small subunit ribosomal RNA", at positions 49 to 742 of the family's 1533-position model. The record is from RNAcentral.
UAACACAUGCAAGUCGAGCGGAAACGAAGGUAGCUUGCUACCAGACGUCGAGCGGCGGACGGGUGAGUAAUGCUUAGGAAUCUACCGAGUAGUGGGGGAUAGCCAUUGGAAACGAUGAUUAAUACCGCAUAUAUCCUACGGGGGAAAGCAGGGGACCUUCGGGCCUUGCGCUAUUCGAUGAGCCUGAGUGAGAUUAGCUAGUUGGUGGGGUAAAGGCCUACCAAGGCGACGAUCUCUAGCUGGUCUGAGAGGAUGAUCAGCCACACUGGGACUGAGACACGGCCCAGACUCCUACGGGAGGCAGCAGUGGGAAAUAUUGCACAAUGGACGAAAGUCUGAUGCAGCCAUGCCGCGUGUGUGAAGAAGGCCUUCGGGUUGUAAAGCACUUUCAGCGAGGAGGAAAGGUCAGUAAGUAAUAUUUGCUGGCUGUGACGUUACUCGCAGAAGAAGCACCGGCUAAUUUAGUGCCAGCAGCCGCGGUAAUACUAAAGGUGCAAGCGUUAAUCGGAAUUACUGGGCGUAAAGCGCGCGUAGGUGGUUUGUUAAGUUGGAUGUGAAAGCCCAGGGCUCAACCUUGGAACUGCAUUCAAAACUGACUCACUAGAGUACGAGAGAGGUUAGUGGAAUUUCCUGUGUAGCGGUGAAAUGCGUAGAGAUGGGAAGGAACACCAGUGGCGAAGCGACUGACUGGCUCGAUACUG